Molecule: non-coding RNA, 80 nt
Organism: Armillaria fumosa
Lineage: Eukaryota; Fungi; Basidiomycota; Agaricomycetes; Agaricales; Physalacriaceae
Source: the annotation of a GenBank genome assembly
GUUGGUAUCGCUUAGGGUUUAAAGCACUUCAUUGUGGAAGGUGUUCUGAAGAGCCGCUGGUUCGGUUCCAGCUACCGACA